GAGGUGGACGGAAGGUCGCUGGCGGACACGCACCGUCCGCGGGAGGAAAGUCCGGGCUCCACAGGGCGGGGAGGUCGCUAACGGCGACCCGGGGCGACCCGAGGGAAAGCGCAACAGAAAUCACACCGCCGAUGGCCGACGAAGCCGCCGCCUGGUGAGGGCGGCGGGGGAGGCACAGGCAAGGGUGAAAUCGUGGGGUAAGAGCCCACGCGCGACGGCCAGGUGACUGGCGGCGAGGCAAGCCCCUCCCGGAGCAAGCUCGAAUAGGGAUGCCAUCGAGGGCGGCCCGUCCGAAGGCCGUCGCCGCGAGGCGGCGGCCGGGCAUCCGGGUGAGAGCGCUCGAGCGGCGCGGCAACGCGUCGCCUAGAUGAAUGGCCUUCGUCCGGCGCGGGGCGACCCGCGUCGGGAACAGAACCCGGCUUACAGUCCACGCUCGCAU
Molecule: RNase P RNA, 439 nt
Filed under: Myxococcales bacterium
Lineage: Bacteria; Pseudomonadati; Myxococcota; Myxococcia; Myxococcales
Also listed under: 1 other name
Description: RNase P RNA component class A
Rfam family: Bacterial RNase P class A
About the family: Ribonuclease P (RNase P) is a ubiquitous endoribonuclease, found in archaea, bacteria and eukarya as well as chloroplasts and mitochondria. Its best characterised activity is the generation of mature 5'-ends of tRNAs by cleaving the 5'-leader elements of precursor-tRNAs.
Source: RNAcentral